Molecule: small RNA, 123 nt
Filed under: Marmota monax (woodchuck)
Lineage: Eukaryota; Metazoa; Chordata; Mammalia; Rodentia; Sciuridae
Source: RNAcentral
GCCAGGUGCAGUGGCAUAUGCCUGUAAUCCCAGUGGCCAGGAGGCUGAGGCAGGAGGAUCAAGAGUACAAAGCAGGCCUUAGCAAAGUGAGGUGUUAAGCAACUCAGUGAGACCCUGUCUCUA